UACGUAGGGUGCGAGCGUUAAUCGGAAUUACUGGGCGUAAAGCGUGCGCAGGCGGUUCGCCAAGUCAGGUGUGAAAUCCCCGGGCUUAACCUGGGAAUUGCGCUUGAAACUAGCGGGCUUGAGUGUGGCAGAGGGGGGUGGAAUUCCACGUGUAGCAGUGAAAUGCGCAGAUAUCGGGAGGAACGCCGGUGGCGAAAGCGAUUCUCUGGCCCGUCCCUGACACUGAGGCGCGAGAGCUAGGGGAGCAAACAGG
This 253-nucleotide ribosomal RNA is filed under the name uncultured bacterium. Its description in RNAcentral is "partial 16S ribosomal RNA". It matches the Rfam family "Bacterial small subunit ribosomal RNA", at positions 524 to 776 of the family's 1533-position model. The record is from RNAcentral.